GGCGCGGUGGUGAAGCGGUUAACACAGCUGUUUGCAGAACAGCCAUGCAUCGGUUCGAAUCCGAUUCGCGCCUCAA
This 76-nucleotide transfer RNA is filed under the name Candidatus Levybacteria bacterium RBG_16_35_6. RNAcentral describes it as "tRNA-Cys". It matches the Rfam family "tRNA". From Rfam's summary of the family: Transfer RNA (tRNA) molecules are approximately 80 nucleotides in length. The record is from RNAcentral. Lineage: Bacteria; Candidatus Levyibacteriota.